GCCGCCAUAGUUUACGUCAUUGUUGCCGCUGUAAUUUCUACGGUCGAAAGCUUCUGAAUCGAGUCAUUGUUUUAGAUCUAUUUUCUCCUUCGAGUUGUCGCUAGUAUUCUUUUUCUUCUCCAUAUUUCACUUGUCUCUAUUUUUCUGCUUCUUUGAAGUUUCAAUAUUAUUUAAAUGUGUUAAAUGGGUGCUUAAUAUUAUACUUGUUUCGACAAUGAAACAAU
This is a non-coding RNA of Arachis ipaensis, 224 nucleotides long. The record is from RefSeq and is a predicted model, not a curated record. NCBI's taxonomy places the organism in Eukaryota, Viridiplantae, Streptophyta, Magnoliopsida, Fabales, Fabaceae.